UAAAGAAUCUUUCGCAAUGGGGGAAACCCUGACGAAGCGAUACCGCGUGAAUGAUGAAAGUCGUAAGAUUGUAAAAUUCUUUUCUGAGGGAAUAAUUCUGAAGGUACCUCAGGAAUAAGCACCGGCUAACUCCGUGCCAGCAGCCGCGGUAAUACGGAGGGUGCAAGCGUUAUCCGGAAUCAUUGGGCGUAAAGCGUCCGCAGGUGGUUUGUUAAGUUGAGUAUUAAAUCUUGAAGCCCAACUUCAAGGCUGUACUCAAAACUGGCUCACUAGAGCACUUUAGAGGUACAUGGAAUUUUGUGUGUAGGGGUAAAAUCCGUUGAUACACAAAAGAACACCAAAAGCGAAGGCAGUGUACUGGAAAGUUGCUGACACUUAUGGACGAAAGCGUGGGGAGCGAACAGG
This 405-nucleotide ribosomal RNA is filed under the name uncultured bacterium. Its description in RNAcentral is "bacterial SSU rRNA". It matches the Rfam family "Bacterial small subunit ribosomal RNA", at positions 355 to 776 of the family's 1533-position model. The record is from RNAcentral.